UCCCUUAUGGGUAGGGCUUCACACGUCAUACAAUGGUCGGUACAGAGGGUUGCCAAGCCGCGAGGCGGAGCCAAUCCCACAAAGCCGAUCGUAGUCCGGAUUGUUCUCUGCAACUCGAGAGCAUGAAGUCGGAAUCGCUAGUAAUCGCAGGUCAGCAUACUGCGGUGAAUACGUUCCCGGGUCUU
Molecule: ribosomal RNA, 185 nt
Filed under: uncultured Thiobacillus sp.
Lineage: Bacteria; Pseudomonadati; Pseudomonadota; Betaproteobacteria; Nitrosomonadales; Thiobacillaceae
Description: partial 16S ribosomal RNA
Rfam family: Bacterial small subunit ribosomal RNA
Source: RNAcentral